GGUAGAGGUGUGGGGGCCGGUCCGAAAAUAAAGUUGGCAACAUCAGCUGAGCUCCCUUAAAGCUAAGUUACCCUUCUUACUUGUUGCCUGCUAUCCAAAAGAUUGAUCCAUACCAGUCUGGAUAAUGUACUGUACGCUGCAGCUAGUUAUAACUAAAUUUAAAUGUUCUUUUUUUUUAAAUUGGCGCGCCAACAAAUAUUUGGCUUUUAAAUGUGAUGUGGAAUCGAGAACGACGCCCAACCAUGAUGUAUCGCGAACGUCACCAGGUUUUACAUUUGAGGAGCAAAAUACCGAAUACUACCUCGACUAUGCGGACGUUCAAGACUCAUUCGAAGAAGCAGAAAACCGAGAUUGCAGAUUUGCAAGGUAAAUAGGCUGGAACUGGUUUCGCCAAUACCACUAGUCCACGAGCAGCACCUACCGAUUGUCUAAGGCGAGCAGAUCAACGUCUGUUGUAAUCGCCGACCUGCCACACACUGACAUUUCUCCAGAGAAUUCAAUCGACAUGCUAGUCAAAACAUUGGGUAGUAUGCUACACCAGUAGCUUAUGAAUAACCCUUUUGAUAAUGCAAACGCAUCUUAACUUAUUUGAAAGUGUUUUAGUUCUCCAUGAUAUGCUGAUUCAGAAUGCUAGUGAUCGCAAUAUGCAUUUUGCAAAAAGCUAAGAAGCAUCCGAUUGGUUUUUUCAAUAUCAAGAACUGUUGAUGUCCUUGUCAACUUUAGAUGUUAGAUAACUUAAUAAGAAUUAAACAAUAGCCGGGAGACCAGUUUAUUUAUAAUCCUACUGUAAUACCCGUAGUCUAUACUUCGGGCGAUAUAUGUUUAGCGAUGUUCGACCCAAUUUUUUUUUUUUGGUUUUCGUUGAUCCGUAUACGAGAAUCGCCCAUGGCGGUUCGUGACAUCUACUGUAGAAAUGUUAUACUUAACUUCGGCAUUUUUGCAAAAUUCGGGGUUAACACACAAGAUUAGCAAAACAUUAAUUUCAAUUAAUUAGUACAAAAAAAAAAGUACGAUCUGCGUAACACAGCAACUGUUUGCUUUACAUGAAAAGAUAUCCAGAUAACAAAAAAAGAGAUAUAAAAUAAAUGCUUGAACAUUAAA
Molecule: long non-coding RNA, 1101 nt
Organism: Daphnia magna
Lineage: Eukaryota; Metazoa; Arthropoda; Branchiopoda; Diplostraca; Daphniidae
Exons: 2
Source: RefSeq, a predicted model, not a curated record